RNAcentral lists this transfer RNA (87 nucleotides) under Acidobacteriota bacterium. RNAcentral's name for it is "Acidobacteria bacterium tRNA-Leu". It matches the Rfam family "tRNA". From Rfam's summary of the family: Transfer RNA (tRNA) molecules are approximately 80 nucleotides in length. Their secondary structure includes four short double-helical elements and three loops (D, anti-codon, and T loops). Lineage: Bacteria; Pseudomonadati; Acidobacteriota. RNAcentral also lists the same sequence under 2 other names. The record is from RNAcentral.
GCCGAAGUGGCGGAAUUGGCAGACGCGCUACAUUCAGGGUGUAGUACCCGUCAGGGUGUGGAGGUUCGAGUCCUCUCUUCGGCACCA